RNAcentral lists this unclassified non-coding RNA (200 nucleotides) under soil metagenome. RNAcentral's name for it is "partial contains internal transcribed spacer 2 and large subunit ribosomal RNA". The record is from RNAcentral.
CGUCAUUUCAACCCUCAAGCCCUGCUUGGUGAUGGGGCCCUACUAGUCUUGUAGGCCCUGAAAUCUAGUGGCGGCCUCGCUAUAAUCCCGAGCGCAGUAAAAUGCCUCGCUUAGGGUAUUAUAGUGGGAGCCCGCCGUAAAACCCCCCAUAUUUUACCAAGGUUGACCUCGGAUCAGGUAGGAAUACCCGCUGAACUUAA